This 564-nucleotide ribosomal RNA is filed under the name uncultured bacterium. Its description in RNAcentral is "partial 16S ribosomal RNA". It matches the Rfam family "Bacterial small subunit ribosomal RNA", at positions 355 to 905 of the family's 1533-position model. The record is from RNAcentral.
UGGGGAAUUUUGGACAAUGGGCGAAAGCCUGAUCCAGCAAUGCCGCGUGUGUGAAGAAGGCCUUCGGGUUGUAAAGCACUUUUGUCCGGAAAGAAAUCCUUGGCUCUAAUACAGUCGGGGGAUGACGGUACCGGAAGAAUAAGCACCGGCUAACUACGUGCCAGCAGCCGCGGUAAUACGUAGGGUGCAAGCGUUAAUCGGAAUUACUGGGCGUAAAGCGUGCGCAGGCGGUUUGCUAAGACCGAUGUGAAAUCCCCGGGCUCAACCUGGGAACUGCAUUGGUGACUGGCAGGCUAGAGUAUGGCAGAGGGGGGUAGAAUUCCACGUGUAGCAGUGAAAUGCGUAGAGAUGUGGAGGAAUACCGAUGGCGAAGGCAGCCCCCCUGGGCCAAAUACUGACGCUCAUGCACGAAAAGCGUGGGGGAGCAAAACAGGAUUAGAUACCCUGGUAGUCCCACGCCCUAAAACGAUGUCAACUAGUUGUUGGGGAUUCAUUUCCUUAGUAACGUAGCUAACGCGUGAAGUUGACCGCCUGGGGAGUACGGUCGCAAGAUUAAAACUCAAA